Molecule: small RNA, 1798 nt
Filed under: Histoplasma capsulatum
Lineage: Eukaryota; Fungi; Ascomycota; Eurotiomycetes; Onygenales; Ajellomycetaceae
Also listed under: 1 other name
Description: hypothetical RNA
Source: RNAcentral
UGUUGGCCGAUUGUUAGAGGGGGAAGAGAGUGAAAUGACAGCGUUUAGCAUUUGCAGACUCCUCGCCAGAUGGAUUUUAAAUACUGCUAGGAGUAUUCAACUGUCCAUAUAUUUGCACUCUAUGUUAUAUACAAUGAAUGGGGGAAUGUUAAUACAGCAAAUAAUGGUUUUAUAAGAUAAGAUUCCCAAACUGUUUUCAAACAGACAGCCAUUCUCAUCCUUCUAUCUCAUCCUUAUACCAUUCUCAUCACGAUAUAAAUUAAACCGUGCCUCCCGCUGGCAACCAGUUAUUAAAGCCUGGGUUCUGAAAUGUUCUAUCAUCGUUACUAAGAACACGUUAGAAAUUCACGAUUCAUAAAAUCCGGACAUUACUAAAUAUAUAUAAAAUAAGAAAAAAGCAGGAAAAAGGGAUGUGAUUGCCCUGCUAAGCAGGAGCACGGAGGUGCAAAGAUAGGGAAAAAAAUCUCAACAAACCUUCUGGAACUUCAACACGGCCUUCCCAAAGUUCUCACCACGGAAGAUGCCCACCAGGCCUUCCGCUGCAUUGUCAAUCCCCACCGUUUCAGCAAUGGCGGGUUUGAAUGAUCCUUCCUUAAUCCACCGCGAGACAGUCUCCUUAUGCUGCUUUUCCCACUUAUCUCCCAUUCCAUGAUCUCCAACAAUAAACCCACGCAUGGUAAUCCUCUUCGAAAUGACCAUGAAUAUAUUCUUAAUCCCGUACCUCUCCUGUGGCCUCAGAUUAUACUGCGAAAUCAUUCCGCAGGCCACAAUGCGACCAAAAUCCCUCAUCGCAUCGAUGGCUGCCUCUAAGUGCUCCCCGCCGACAUUCUCGUAGUAAAUAUCGAUCCCGUCCGGUGCGAGGCGCGCCAGUCCAUCACGCGGCUUCUCCUUCUUGUAGUUGAACCCGCCGUCGAAUCCCAACUCAUUCAGGAUAUAAUCCAACUUGGCAUCCGUACCGACGCUGCCAAUCACCUUCAGACCCAGAUGCUUCGCCAACUGGCCCACGACCUGGCCCACUGCCCCGGACGCGGCGGAGAUGAAGAUCGUCUCGCCCUUGAUCGGCUUGCCGAUUUCCAUUAAAGAUGAGUAUGCGGUCAGGCCGGGCAUUCCUAGCGGGCCUAAGAAGACGCGGGUAUCUUCGAGGCCUAAGGGAUUGUCCAGCAGCUGGAUGGCUUCCAGGGCCUCCGGUGGCAGGAAGACAUAUUCCUGUACGGGCAGGAAGCCAAUGACGUGAUCAUCCGGUUUGUACUUGCUGUUGUUGGAUGCCAGGACUUUGGCAACAGAGCGGCUGUAUAUGGGUUUUCCAAGGUCAAAAGCCGGGGAGUAUGAUUUGAUGGUGGAAUCGCGCAUGCGACCACGCAUGUAAGGGUCGAAGCUGGUGUAGAGAGAUUGAACAGUGAUUCCAUUUUCUGGAGCUGGCGUGGAGGGAUCAAUUGGGACGUUUUGAAUGGUUAAGUGCUCUCCCGGCACGGGGUAUCCGGUGGGGAUUUUGGAGAAGAAGAGGGCUUUGUUUUGGGGAGACAUUUUAGAUGCUGUGUCUUUGUAUUUGCGGGGAAUCGGGUACGGCGUUCUUAAUAUGGGUCACGUAUAUGGCAGCUCGAGGUGGAGGCGACUGUAGUGCAGAAAGGGAAUGUUGAUUUGGUUCUCAGUGCGACGAGGGGCGCAUUCAUGUGGAUUCUGGCUCAAUUGAAGGGAGGCUUUGUGCCCUUUAUAUAUGGAAUUGUGGAAGCAUAUAUGCGCAAUUACAAAUGUGGACAUUAAAAAGAUGGAAGCCCCAAGCCAUCGAAACAACGGGCCC